RNAcentral lists this ribosomal RNA (253 nucleotides) under uncultured bacterium. RNAcentral's name for it is "partial 16S ribosomal RNA". It matches the Rfam family "Bacterial small subunit ribosomal RNA", at positions 524 to 776 of the family's 1533-position model. The record is from RNAcentral.
CACGUAGGGCGCAAGCGUUGUCCGGAAUUAUUGGGCGUAAAGAGCUCGUAGGCGGUCUGUUGCGUCUGCUGUGAAAACCCGGGGCUUAACCCCUGGCUUGCAGUGGAUACGGACAGACUAGAGGUAGGUAGGGGAGAAUGGAAUUCCCGGUGUAGCGGUGAAAUGCGCAGAUAUCAGGAGGAACACCAAUGGCGAAGGCAGCUCGCUGGGACGUGACUGACGCUGAGACGCGAAAGCGUGGGGAGCAAACAGG